UACAGAGGUCUCAACCGUUGUUCGGAUUCAUUGGGCGUAAAGGGUGCGUAGGCGGUCGUGCAAGUCGGAUGUGAAAUCUCAGGGCUCAACCCUGAAACUGCAUUCGAUACUGCGCGGCUAGAGUGCUGGAGGGGAGACUGGAAUUUACGGUGUAGCAGUGAAAUGCGUAGAUAUCUGGAGGAACACCGGUGGCGAAGGCGGCAUCCUGGACCAACACUGACACUGAGGAGCGAAAGCCAGGGGAGCAAACGGG
Molecule: ribosomal RNA, 253 nt
Filed under: uncultured bacterium
Lineage: Bacteria
Description: partial 16S ribosomal RNA
Rfam family: Bacterial small subunit ribosomal RNA
Source: RNAcentral